This 465-nucleotide ribosomal RNA is filed under the name Vreelandella stevensii. RNAcentral's name for it is "partial 16S ribosomal RNA". It matches the Rfam family "Bacterial small subunit ribosomal RNA", at positions 338 to 795 of the family's 1533-position model. Lineage: Bacteria; Pseudomonadati; Pseudomonadota; Gammaproteobacteria; Oceanospirillales; Halomonadaceae. The record is from RNAcentral.
CCUACGGGUGGCAGCAGUGGGGAAUAUUGGACAAUGGGGGCAACCCUGAUCCAGCCAUGCCGCGUGUGUGAAGAAGGCCCUCGGGUUGUAAAGCACUUUCAGUGAGGAAGAACGCCUGGUGGUUAAUACCCAUCAGGAAAGACAUCACUCACAGAAGAAGCACCGGCUAACUCCGUGCCAGCAGCCGCGGUAAUACGGAGGGUGCGAGCGUUAAUCGGAAUUACUGGGCGUAAAGCGCGCGUAGGUGGCUUGAUAAGCCGGUUGUGAAAGCCCCGGGCUCAACCUGGGAACGGCAUCCGGAACUGUCAAGCUAGAGUGAAGGAGAGGAAGGUAGAAUUCCCGGUGUAGCGGUGAAAUGCGUAGAGAUCGGGAGGAAUACCAGUGGCGAAGGCGGCCUUCUGGACUGACACUGACACUGAGGUGCGAAAGCGUGGGUAGCAAACAGGAUUAGAUACCCUUGUAGUC